Heterocephalus glaber (naked mole-rat) is the source of this 872-nucleotide long non-coding RNA. Lineage: Eukaryota; Metazoa; Chordata; Mammalia; Rodentia; Bathyergidae. The record is from Ensembl.
AUACUCUCUUCAAACCAAAGUAUAGCCUUUAAUCAAUUGAGCUCAUUAUGGAUUCCCCUUAUAUAAAGCAAAAUCUAAAGACUUGGGUCAGCUUGAGGGCAUGCUUAUGCAGUGUGCUGGAGCUGUUCUGAAAUGCUUACAACAGGGUUGCAAAAUGAGAUUAAAAAGAAGGUAUAAGUGCAAAGAAAUCAGAUAAAUUUAGGUUUUUUCUUCCAAGGAGUUAAUGUGCUUUCAAGAGAUAAUCCUGAAAUCACCUCGAGUAAAUUCCAUCACCUUCCAGGAACCCUCUGUCACUCACCAGUUGUAGAAGUUUACAGCAAGGAAACCCACAUUUCCUGACCAGAGUUCCCUUAUUAUGAAGGAAAGGUAGCACCUUGGUGUCAGUCAACCUACUGGAGAAGCCAGGUCUGAAGUUUGGACGUCAUAAUCACAGCAGGAGGAUUCCUGUUCACCCCAUUCUCAUUGCAGCUUGUUCUGCCCCCAGAGGCUUCUUCAGACACAGUGUGCAGAUGACUGUGUCUCCUUGAGAACAGAAACUGCCUGUCUUGUUCACCUCCUCCUCCCUGCGCCUAGAACAAUGAUGAGUUUAUGGCAGAUGGACGAUGGAUCAGUGUUAGAUGGAUGCCCACCAUCCAAGGGAAUGAAUGGUUUACCUUCAAAUGACACGUCUGCCUGAGAGCUUGCUAAGCACAUAGAUUUACUGCCUGCUGCCCUCAGCACUAGUUCUGCCCAUUAUGAAUGUGUGGUCACCAAUCUUCAAAAUGUGACACAAAGGCCCCAUCUAUUGCCAGGAGUGGACACCAUUGAUGCUUUCCCCAGAACUCAUCCCAACACCAGUGUGGAUAAACCUGUACCUCUUGGAAUGUGGAGAC